Molecule: ribosomal RNA, 425 nt
Filed under: uncultured bacterium
Lineage: Bacteria
Description: bacterial SSU rRNA
Rfam family: Bacterial small subunit ribosomal RNA
Source: RNAcentral
GUGGGGAAUAUUGCGCAAUGGGGGAAACCCUGACGCAGCGACGCCGCGUGGAGGAUGAAGGUCUUCGGGUUGUAAACUCCUUUUCUUGGGAAAGAUAAUGACGGUACCCAAGGAAUAAGCCACGGCUAACUCUGUGCCAGCAGCCGCGGUAAGACAGAGGUGGCGAGCGUUGUUCGGAAUUACUGGGCUUAAAGGGCGAGUAGGCGGUGGAGCAAGUCUGAGGUGGAAUCUUAGGGCUUAACCCUAAAACUGCCUUAGAAACUGUUUUACUUGAGUCAGUGAGGGGAGGGCGGAAUUCCUGGUGUAGCGGUGAAAUGCGUAGAUAUCAGGAGGAAGGCCUGUGGCGAAGGCGGCCCUCUGGCACUGUACUGACGCUGAGGCGCGAAAGCGUGGGUAGCAAACAGGAUUAGAUACCCCGGUAGUCC